GCGAGAGUGGCGGAACAGGCAGACGCGCACGUUUGAGGGGCGUGUGAUUAUUCGUACGGGUUCAAGUCCCGUCUCUCGCACCA
Molecule: transfer RNA, 83 nt
Filed under: Clostridiales bacterium
Lineage: Bacteria; Bacillati; Bacillota; Clostridia; Eubacteriales
Description: tRNA-Leu
Rfam family: tRNA
About the family: Transfer RNA (tRNA) molecules are approximately 80 nucleotides in length. Their secondary structure includes four short double-helical elements and three loops (D, anti-codon, and T loops). Further hydrogen bonds mediate the characteristic L-shaped molecular structure. tRNAs have two regions of fundamental functional importance: the anti-codon, which is responsible for specific mRNA codon recognition, and the 3' end, to which the tRNAs corresponding amino acid is attached (by aminoacyl-tRNA synthetases). tRNAs cope with the degeneracy of the genetic code in two manners: having more than one tRNA (with a specific anti-codon) for a particular amino acid; and 'wobble' base-pairing, i.e. permitting non-standard base-pairing at the 3rd anti-codon position.
Source: RNAcentral